Molecule: ribosomal RNA, 447 nt
Filed under: uncultured bacterium
Lineage: Bacteria
Description: bacterial SSU rRNA
Rfam family: Bacterial small subunit ribosomal RNA
Source: RNAcentral
CCAGACUCCUACGGGAGGCAGCAGUGGGGAAUAUUGGACAAUGGGGGGAACCCUGAUCCAGCGACGCCGCGUGAGUGAAGAAGUAUUUCGGUAUGUAAAGCUCUAUCAGCAGGGAAGAAAGAAAUGACGGUACCUGACUAAGAAGCCCCGGCUAACUACGUGCCAGCAGCCGCGGUAAUACGUAGGGGGCAAACGUUAUCCGGAUUUACUGGGUGUAAAGGGAGCGUAGACGGCGAUGCAAGUCUGAAGUGAAAGGCGGGGGCCCAACCCCCGGACUGCUCUGGAAACUGCGUCGCUGGAGUACGGGAGGGGCAGGCGGAAUUCCUGGUGUAGCGGUGAAAUGCGUAGAUAUCAGGAGGAACACCGGCGGCGAAGGCGGCCUGCUGGACCGUGACUGACGUUGAGGCUCGAGAGCGUGGGGAGCAAACAGGAUUAGAUACCCCGGUA